UUAACUGAAACCAAAAAGAGGUAUAUUAUUGUUAAUAAUAAAAAUGAAUUAACUAUUCCAGUUAAG
This 66-nucleotide transfer RNA is filed under the name Microtermes obesi. RNAcentral's name for it is "tRNA-Asn". The record is from RNAcentral. Lineage: Eukaryota; Metazoa; Arthropoda; Insecta; Blattodea; Termitidae.